This 348-nucleotide ribosomal RNA is filed under the name Triticum aestivum (bread wheat). RNAcentral describes it as "partial small subunit ribosomal RNA". Lineage: Eukaryota; Viridiplantae; Streptophyta; Magnoliopsida; Poales; Poaceae. The record is from RNAcentral.
AUGACAGGGUUUAGAGUCGUCGGCAAUUUUAACAAGGUAAACGACGGUGAGAGAGUAUACAUCCCGCAUCCAGACCUUCGGCGAACAAGUAGGGGCAGACGAAAGGCCCGUCGCAUCCGGAACGAUAUGGACCAGUCUAAAGCUGGUGGAGCAACCAGGCAAUGUUUGUUAUGCACGGCUUAUGGGCAUAGGAUGAAAUAUUGUCCCAACCUGAACAAAGAUGGUGCUUCCGCAUCGACGAGUGCUUCCACAUCGACGGCUGCGACAACAAGAGCAAGAGGCGGACGUGGUCGUGGCAGUCGAGGCCGAAGGGGCGGACGAGGAAGAAAUAACUCACAAGCUAUAUAA